CAUCACUUGAGGUAUGUUUGUCUCAAAGUUUAGUACCUUUUCUCGGGCGUUGACUUUUGUUGACUUUUUCUCUUCCUAAGAGUUGACUUUUGUUGACUAUUUGCAAUUUUGGCUCAUUUUGCUCGUUUUUGUAUCUUUUAUAGAUUUCUUUAGAUAACUGACGAUAUCCCGUAUAGCGGAGGUCCUCCAUAUGCAGAGGACGAGCCCGACAUCAUACCGUUGCCUCCGAGGAUACGGCCGUUCGUCCCUGAGGGGUACGACCUGAAGGAGCACAUCCUUCCUCCUGGCACCUUCUACCACUUCACGGACUUUGCGCGGCGGGCACCUGCAGACCUGCUACUACGAGAGCCAGAGUCCCAUCUAUUUCAUCACGCGCAUGAGCUCAUACUUUUCAUUCUAAAGCUGAAUACAUCUGUUCAUUCUGAAUGCAAGUAUCUUCCCGUUUCACACGGGGUUAUGGGUCUAUCCUCACGAGGGAGUGGUACAUGGAGCUCGCAGACGCUGUUCGACAUAUAGUGGACGAGGCAGGGUUUGGUCUAUUCUGUGCAGGAUUGUCACGUCAUCCAGCGAGUAGGACCUUCUUGGGGGCACUUGUGGAGAGAUGGUGGGACACCACCAACUCCUUCCAUUUCUCAGCCAUUGAGGAUAUGACGAUGACCCCAUACGACUUCUCCAUGCUGACGGGCCUUGAGGUGGGAGGCCGGCCGAUUCCAUACGACGCAGAUAUAGGUGAGUGGGAGACCGCUUGGAUUUAUUUGCUCAGAGCCCGUCCGCCGAUCGACAGAUCAUCGGGCAGGCUUAGGUACACCUGGUUUUCCGAGCAGUACAGGGGGACUUCGCCCCAGACCAUUGAGACCGUACAACAGUACGCCCGAGGAUUUUUGAUGUUCCUCCUCGGGACCACACUGUUCUCCGACAAGGGGAACACGGUUGGGCUUUAUCUGCUCAGUGCUCUGGUGGACCUAUCACGAGUCCAGCUCUUUGAUUAGGGUGGCGCUGCCCUCGCUUUCCUUUACUGCUACAUGAGCGCGACCUCCCGUGAGCGAGGGACCAUAGUUGGAGGCUACUGGCGAGCCUGGGAGCUGUAGGUUUAUGCAUACUUCUCGACGUUGGCCCCUAAACUAGAGGUCGAGGCACCCCUUGAGGUCCCUUACUCGCGCAGAUUUGAGGGUCGGUGUCGGUCCAGGCCCCGGGAGACUUUGCCCUUUCUCCGGCAGUUCUUCGAUACUGUACGGGCGACAGAGCCUUGGAUAGCUAUGCCAGGGAAUCCUCGAUUUCUGUUCGCUGGGACAUGGGGCACUUCGCGAUACAGGGCUCUGCUUGAGGGACCGGUCGGCAGAGCCUAGUUUCUCAGAGAGUGCUCCAUGCGCCAGACGAUGGGCAACUUCGAUCAGGACGUUCCCUCGUUGCCUCUACCAGAGAUGUGGUCCGCAGGGGAUCUUACGCCCCGAAAGACGGAGGACCUCAUGCUGGGUAUUGAUGCUGUCCUUUUUCUGGAGGAGGGGGAUUACGCGACAUAUCGCCAUACGUACCUGAUGCCUCUGCUGUCAGGUGUCCGUAUCCCCAGGAAGAGAGCUACUGACAUGCCUUCCUCGAGUCGCGCCCGAGCUAGAGGCAUUCCUUCGACCAGCGGGGCAGGCUCAUCGAGAGGCGGGACCGAAUGGAUGCCCUCGACUUGCCAGUAUGCUGGAUGGCCAGAUCUCCCGACCGAGCUGACAGGCUGGCGGUA
Camellia sinensis is the source of this 1729-nucleotide non-coding RNA. Lineage: Eukaryota; Viridiplantae; Streptophyta; Magnoliopsida; Ericales; Theaceae. The record is from RefSeq and is a predicted model, not a curated record.